GCCUCGGUAGCUCAGUCGGCAGAGCGCGUGCCUUUUAAGCCCGUGGCCGCGGGUUCGAGCCCCGCCGGAGGUG
This 73-nucleotide transfer RNA is filed under the name Perkinsus marinus ATCC 50983. It matches the Rfam family "tRNA". From Rfam's summary of the family: Transfer RNA (tRNA) molecules are approximately 80 nucleotides in length. Their secondary structure includes four short double-helical elements and three loops (D, anti-codon, and T loops). Lineage: Eukaryota; Perkinsozoa; Perkinsida; Perkinsidae. The record is from Rfam by way of RNAcentral.